CUCUGCUUCCCAGCUGCCAUGAGCUGAGCAGUUUUCUUCCAGCACAUCCUUCUGCCAUGAUGUUCAGCCUCACCUCAAAUCCAGAGUACUGGAGCAGAUGACCAUGCACCAAAACCUCCAAAACAACUGAAGAACAUGGAAGCAGCCCUCCCAGGUCUCUGACUGCAGGAGGUGAUCCAGACUGAAGACCUCCCCAGCUGCCUUGUCGACACAUCCCAGCCUUCACACCCAGGCCACGCUUCUCAUGGUGAUGAUGGAGCCCAGUGGAGAUACUAAGGCAGAGCACCAGGGAUUUGCAGAAAUGCCUACCCCAUCAUGUCUUUACCUGGCCAACACAGAACAACAGAUGUUUCCAAGCCAUUAAAGGAACUGGGACCCUCUGGAAUUUGAAGCUUUCCUGAGUGAGCACAGCCCACCAAGAGUUCAGUGGGGUGCCAAGAGACACAAGGAUUCCUAAAUACUUCUUGAAAGUCCACAAAUAGAUUCCUGCUGAAACAGUUUAGAUGGGCAAACCACAUUUUAACAAUUGAAUUAAGAGUCAACAAGAUAUGUAUUUCCAAAUACAUGUUUUUAUGAUUUUUUUUAAUGCUUAAGAUUUGUGUGCCAGUUUGUUGUUAAGGUGACAACAUUUAUGUGACACCGUUUCUAGUAGCCUAUUAUAAAAGUUUUGUGUUCUUGGAAA
This is a non-coding RNA of Ictidomys tridecemlineatus (thirteen-lined ground squirrel), 682 nucleotides long. The record is from RefSeq and is a predicted model, not a curated record. Lineage: Eukaryota; Metazoa; Chordata; Mammalia; Rodentia; Sciuridae.